Molecule: ribosomal RNA, 497 nt
Filed under: uncultured bacterium
Lineage: Bacteria
Description: partial 16S ribosomal RNA
Rfam family: Bacterial small subunit ribosomal RNA
Source: RNAcentral
GAUGAACGCUGGCGGCGUGCCUAAUACAUGCAAGUCGAGCGAACAGACGAGGAGCUUGCUCCUCUGACGUUAGCGGCGGACGGGUGAGUAACACGUGGAUAACCUACCUAUAAGACUGGGAUAACUUCGGGAAACCGGAGCUAAUACCGGAUGAUAUAUUGAACCGCAUGGUUCAAUAGUGAAAGACGGUUUUGCUGUCACUUAGAGAUGGAUCCGCGCCGCAUUAGCUAGUUGGUAAGGUAACGGCUUACCAAGGCAACGAUGCGUAGCCGACCUGAGAGGGUGAUCGGCCACACUGGAACUGAGACACGGUCCAGACUCCUACGGGAGGCAGCAGUAGGGAAUCUUCCGCAAAGGGCGAAAGCCUGACGGAGCAACGCCGCGUGAGUGAUGAAGGUCUUCGGAUCGUAAAACUCUGUUAUCAGGGAAGAACAAAUGUGUAAGUAACUAUGCACGUCUUGACGGUACCUAAUCAGAAAGCCACGGCUAACUACGUG